RNAcentral lists this long non-coding RNA (4783 nucleotides) under Oncorhynchus mykiss (rainbow trout). Its description in RNAcentral is "lncRNA (ENSOMYG00000064215.1)". Lineage: Eukaryota; Metazoa; Chordata; Actinopteri; Salmoniformes; Salmonidae. The record is from RNAcentral.
CAUCCCCCUCUCAUCCAUCAAUCCCUCUCUCAUCCCACUAUCCAUCCCUCUCUCAUCCCUCUAUCCCUCCCUUUCUCAUCCCUCUAUAUCUCCAUCCAUCCCUCCCUUUCUCCAUCCCUCUCCAGUUUCUGUGACUUUUUAACUAUAUUCUUGGAAGGUGAGUGUGUGUGAAUGUGUGUGUGUGAAUGUGUGUGUGCACAAGCUUACGGCUAACACACAAACAAUCAGCACUUAUAGCUUCCGACAGUAAUCGAACGCGGCGUUCUCAAAAACACGAGAGCAUGACGCCACCAAAUGCCAUUACACACAAGGUGCUAAGUAUACACACAAGAGGUCGACUUCCUCUCAAUGCCUGAGAAACACAACAGAAUCAACAAAAAGGACAACAAUUCUUCUUUCUUUCACCAUUAUGCUGCAAAACCCAUUAUACUGACUUCACAAGCACAAUUACUAAAUGUGCUUGUGCAGUCUGAGAAAAAUACCAGUGAAAUAACACAGCCAUUACCGUAAUGCAGAGGUAGAGAGAAACAUACCAGUCAAAUAACACAGCCAGUACCGUAAUGUAGAGGUAGAGAGAAACAUACCAGUCAAAUAACACAGCCAUUACCAUAAUGCAGAGGUAGAGAGAAACAUACCAGUUAAAUAACACAGCUAUUACCAUAAUGCAGAGGUAGAGAGAAACAUACCAGUCAAAUAACACAACCAUUACCAUAAUGCAGAGAGAAACAUACCAGUCAAAUAACACAACCAUUACCAUAAUGCAGAGAGAAACAUACCAGUCAAAUAACACAACCAUUACCAUAAUGCAGAGAGAAACAUACCAGUCAAAUAACACAACCAUUACCAUAAUGCAGAGAGAAACAUACCAGUCAAAUAACACAGCCAUUACCAUAAUGCAGAGGUAGAGAGAAACAUACCAGUCAAAUAACACAACCAUUACCGUAAUGCAGAGGUAGAGAGAAACAUACCAGUCAAAUAACACAACCAUUACCAUAAUGCAGAGGUAGAGAGAAACAUACCAGUCAAAUAACACAGCCAUUACCGUAAUGCAGAGGUAGAGAGAAACAUACCAGUCAAAUAACACAGCCAUUACCGUAAUGCAGAGGUAGAGAGAAACAUACCAGUCAAAUAACACAGCCAGUACCGUAAUGCAGAGGUAGAGAGAAACAUACCAGUUAAAUAACACAGCCAUUACCGUAAUGCAGAGGUAGAGAGAAACAUACCAGUCAAAUAACACAGCCAGUACCGUAAUGCAGAGGUAGAGAGAAACAUACCAGUUAAAUAACACAGCCAUUACCGUAAUGCAGAGGUAGAGAGAUACAUACCAGUCAAAUAACACAGCCAGUACCGUAAUGCAGAGGUAGAGAGAAACAUACCAGUUAAAUAACACAGCCAUUACCGUAAUGCAGAGGUAGAGAGAAACAUACCAGUCAAAUAACACAGCCAGUACCGUAAUGCAGAGAGAAACAUACCAGUCAAAUAACACAGCCAUUACCAUAAUGCAGAGGUAGAGAGAAACAUACCAGUCAAAUAACACAGCCAUUACCGUAAUGCAGAGGUAGAGAGAAACAUACCAGUCAAAUAACACAACCAUUACCGUAAUGCAGAGGUAGAGAGAAACAUACCAGUCAAAUAACACAACCAUUACCAUAAUGCAGAGGUAGAGAGAAACAUACCAGUCAAAUAACACAGCCAUUACCAUAAUGCAGAGGUAGAGAGAAACAUACCAGUCAAAUAACACAGUCAUUACCAUAAUGCAGAGAGAAACAUACCAGUCAAAUAACCCAGCCAUUACCAUAAUGCAGAGGUAGAGAGAAACAUACCAGUCAAAUAACACAGUCAUUACCAUAAUGCAGAGAGAAACAUACCAGUCAAAUAACACAACCAUUACCGUAAUGCAGAGAGAAACAUACCAGUCAAAUAACACAGCCAUUACCGUAAUGCAGAGGUAGAGAGAAACAUACCAGUCAAAUAACACAGUCAUUACCAUAAUGCAGAGAGAAACAUACCAGUCAAAUAACACAACCAUUACCAUAAUGCAGAGGUAGAGAGAAACAUACCAGUCAAAUAACACAGCCAUUACCAUAAUGCAGAGGUAGAGAGAAACAUACCAGUCAAAUAACACAACCAUUACCAUAAUGCAGAGGUAGAGAGAAACAUACCAGUCAAAUAACACAGUCAUUACCGUAAUGCAGAGGUAGAGAGAAACAUACCAGUCAAAUAACACAGCUAUUACCAUAAUGCAGAGAGAAACAUACCAGUCAAAUAACACAGCCAUUACCGUAAUGCAGAGAGAAACAUACCAGUCAAAUAACACAGCCAUUACCGUAAUGCAGAGAGAAACAUACCAGUCAAAUAACACAGUCAUUACCGUAAUGCAGAGGUAGAGAGAAACAUACCAGUCAAAUAACACAGCUAUUACCAUAAUGCAGAGAGAAACAUACCAGUCAAAUAACACAGCCAUUACCGUAAUGCAGAGGUAGAGAGAAACAUACCAGUCACAUAACACAGCCAGUACCGUAAUGCAGAGAGAAACAUACCAGUCAAAUAACACAGCCAUUACCGUAAUGCAGAGGUAGAGAGAAACAUACCAGUCAAAUAACACAGCCAUUACCAUAAUGCAGAGGUAGAGAGAAACAUACCAGUCAAAUAACACAGCCAGUACCGUAAUGCAGAGGUAGAGAGAAACAUACCAGUCAAAUAACACAACCAUUACCGUAAUGCAGAGGUAGAGAGAAACAUACCAGUCAAAUAACACAACCAUUACCAUAAUGCAGAGGUAGAGAGAAACAUACCAGUCAAAUAACACAGCCAUUACCAUAAUGCAGAGGUAGAGAGAAACAUACCAGUCAAAUAACACAGCCAUUACCGUAAUGCAGAGGUAGAGAGAAACAUACCAGUCAAAUAACCCAGCCAUUACCAUAAUGCAGAGGUAGAGAGAAACAUACCAGUCAAAUAACACAACCAUUACCGUAAUGCAGAGGUAGAGAGAAACAUACCAGUCAAAUAACACAGCCAUUACCGUAAUGCAGAGGUAGAGAGAAACAUACCAGUCAAAUAACCCAGCCAUUACCAUAAUGCAGAGGUAGAGAGAAACAUACCAGUUAAAUAACACAGCCAUUACCGUAAUGCAGAGGUAGAGAGAAACAUACCAGUCAAAUAACACAGCCAUUACCAUAAUGCAGAGGUAGAGAGAAACAUACCAGUUAAAUAACACAGCCAUUACCAUAAUGCAGAGAGAAACAUACCAGUCAAAUAACACAACCAUUACCAUAAUGCAGAGGUAGAGAGAAACAUACCAGUCAAAUAACACAGCCAUUACCGUAAUGCAGAGGUAGAGAGAAACAUACCAGUUAAAUAACACAGCCAUUACCAUAAUGCAGAGGUAGAGAGAAACAUACCAGUCAAAUAACACAACCAUUACCAUAAUGCAGAGGUAGAGAGAUACAUACCAGUCAAAUAACACAACCAUUACCGCAAUGCAGAGGUAGAGAGAAACAUACCAGUCAAAUAACACAGCCAUUACCAUAAUGCAGAGGUAGAGAGAAACAUACCAGUCAAAUAACACAGCCAUUACCAUAAUGCAGAGGUAGAGAGAAACAUACCAGUUAAAUAACACAGCCAUUACCGUAAUGCAGAGAGAAACAUACCAGUCAAAUAACACAACCAUUACCAUAAUGCAGAGGUAGAGAGAAACAUACCAGUCAAAUAACACAGCCAUUACCAUAAUGCAGAGGUAGAGAGAAACAUACCAGUUAAAUAACACAGUCAAAUAACACAGCCAUUACCAUAAUGCAGAGAGAAACAUACCAGUCAAAUAACACAGCCAUUACCAUAAUGCAGAAAUCAUCAGUUCAACGUCUAGUCUAGUUUUACAUUUGGUUGAGUUGUCAACUAAUGUGAAUUCAACGUGAAAUGAAUAAAACAAUCUCACCGUGUCAUUGGAUUAAAAGUAGGGUGAAAAAUAGAGGGAGUGUCCUUAAGUUGAUGACUGUUUUCAAAUCCAAUCAGUUUUCCACGUUGAUUCAACAUCACAUAUAUUUUUGUUGGUUGAAAUGACGUGGAAACAACGUUGAUUUAACCAGUUUGUGCCCAGUGGUUUGAUGACACAGUAAUCACCAGUCUACUCCAGACCCUGGUUAAAACACGACCCCGGGAACCCAGGCUAAAGGGAUGAGAGGAAUAGUAUGCUCCAGACCCUGGUUAAAACACAACCCCGGGAACCAAGGCUAAAGGGAUGAGAGGAAUAGUCUGCUCCAGACCCUGGUUAAAACACGACCCCGGGAACCAAGGCUAAAGGGAUGAGAGGAAUAGUCUGCUCCAGACCCUGGUUAAAACACGACCCCGGGAACCCAGGCUAAAGGGAUGAGAGGAAUAGUCUGCUCCAGACCCUGGUUAAAACACGACCCCGGGAACCAAGGCUAAAGGGAUGAGAGGAAUAGUAUGCUCCAGACCCUGGUUAAAACACAACCCCGGGAACCAAGGCUAAAGGGAUGAGAGGAAUAGUAUGCUCCAGACCCUGGUUAAAACACGACCCCGGGAACCAAGGCUAAAGGGAUGAGAGGAAUAGUAUGCUCCAGACCCUGGUUAAAACACGACCCCGGGAACCCAGGCUAAAGGGAUGAGAAGAAUAAGUGAACUCAUCUGAAAGGAAGAUGCAUUGACAUUGACAAGGGCUCAUUCAACUCAGGUGAGAGUUUUCUUUCAAUUCAAUUCAAGGGCUUUAUUGGCAUGGGAAACAUGUGUUAACAUUGCCAAAGCAAAUGAGGUAGAUAAUAUACAA